Molecule: ribosomal RNA, 394 nt
Filed under: uncultured bacterium
Lineage: Bacteria
Description: partial 16S ribosomal RNA
Rfam family: Bacterial small subunit ribosomal RNA
Source: RNAcentral
AUACGUAGGGGGCUAGCGUUAUCCGGAAUUACUGGGCGUAAAGGGUGCGUAGGUGGUUUCUUAAGUCAGAAGAGAAAGGCUACGGCUCAACCGUAGUAAGCUUUUGAAACUAAGAGACUUGAGUGCAGGAGAGGAGAGUAGAAUUCCUAGUGUAGCGGUGAAAUGCGUAGAUAUUAGGAGGAAUACCAGUUGCGAAGGCGGCUCUCUGGACUGUAACUGACACUGAGGCACGAAAGCGUGGGGAGCAAACAGGAUUAGAUACCCUGGUAGUCCACGCCGUAAACGAUGAGUACUAGCUGUCGGGGGUUACCCCCCUCGGUGGCGCAGCUAACGCAUUAAGUACUCCGCCUGGGAAGUACGCUCGCAAGAGUGAAACUCAAAGGAAUUGGCGGGG